UACAGAGGGGGCAAGCGUUAUUCGGAAUUACUGGGCGUAAAGGGCUUGUAGGUGGCCAACUAAGUCAGACGUGAAAUCCCUCGGCUUAACCGGGGAACUGCGUCUGAUACUGGAUGGCUUGAGUGUGGGAGAGGGAUGCGGAAUUCCAGGUGUAGCGGUGAAAUGCGUAGAUAUCUGGAGGAACACCGGUGGCGAAGGCGGCAUCCUGGACCAUUACUGACACUGAAAAGCGAAAGCCAGGGGAGCAAACGGG
This 253-nucleotide ribosomal RNA is filed under the name uncultured bacterium. RNAcentral describes it as "partial 16S ribosomal RNA". It matches the Rfam family "Bacterial small subunit ribosomal RNA", at positions 524 to 776 of the family's 1533-position model. The record is from RNAcentral.